GGUAACACUGAAUGGAGGACCGAACCGACUUACGUUGAAAAGUGAGCGGAUGAACUGAGGGUAGCGGAGAAAUUCCAAUCGAACCUGGAGAUAGCUGGUUCUCUCCGAAAUAGCUUUAGGGCUAGCCUCAAGUGAUGAUUAUUGGAGGUAGAGCACUGUUUGGACGAGGGGCCCCUCUCGGGUUACCGAAUUCAGACAAACUCCGAAUGCCAAUUAAUUUAACUUGGGAGUCAGAACAUGGGUGAUAAGGUCCGUGUUCGAAAGGGAAACAGCCCAGACCACCAGCUAAGGUCCCAAAAUAUAUGUUAAGUGGAAAAGGAUGUGGCGUUGCCCAGACAACUAGGAUGUUGGCUUAGAAGCAGCCAUCAUUUAAAGAGUGCGUAAUAGCUCACUAGUCGAGUGACACUGCGCCGAAAAUGUACCGGGGCUAAACAUAUUACCGAAGCUGUGGAUUGUCCUUUGGACAAUGGUAGGAGAGCGUUCUAAGGGCGUUGAAGCAUGAUCGUAAGGACAUGUGGAGCGCUUAGAAGUGAGAAUGCCGGUGUGAGUAGCGAAAGACGGGUGAGAAUCCCGUCCACCGAUUGACUAAGGUUUCCAGAGGAAGGCUCGUCCGCUCUGGGUUAGUCGGGUCCUAAGCUGAGGCCGACAGGCGUAGGCGAUGGAUAACAGGUUGAUAUUCCUGUACCACCUAUAAUCGUUUUAAUCGAUGGGGGGACGCAGUAGGAUAGGCGAAGCGUGCGAUUGGAUUGCACGUCUAAGCAGUAAGGCUGAGUAUUAGGCAAAUCCGGUACUCGUUAAGGCUGA
RNAcentral lists this ribosomal RNA (804 nucleotides) under Staphylococcus aureus. Its description in RNAcentral is "partial 23S ribosomal RNA". It matches the Rfam family "Bacterial large subunit ribosomal RNA", at positions 755 to 1559 of the family's 2925-position model. Lineage: Bacteria; Bacillati; Bacillota; Bacilli; Caryophanales; Staphylococcaceae. The record is from RNAcentral.